This 253-nucleotide ribosomal RNA is filed under the name uncultured bacterium. RNAcentral describes it as "partial 16S ribosomal RNA". It matches the Rfam family "Bacterial small subunit ribosomal RNA", at positions 524 to 776 of the family's 1533-position model. The record is from RNAcentral.
UACAGAGGGGGCGAGCGUUGUUCGGAAUUACUGGGCGUAAAGGGCUCGUAGGCGGCCAACUAAGUCAUACGUGAAAUCCCUCGGCUUAACCGGGGAACUGCGUGUGAUACUGGAUGGCUUGAGAUUGGGAGAGGGAUGCGGAAUUCCAGGUGUAGCGGUGAAAUGCGUAGAUAUCUGGAGGAACACCGGUGGCGAAGGCGGCAUCCUGGACCGGCAUUGACGCUGAGGCGCGAAAGCCAGGGGAGCAAACGGG